AUAUUAUUAAGCGGAGGAAAAGAAACUAACCAGGAUUCCCCUAGUAACGGCGAGUGAAGCGGGAAGAGCUCAACGUUAAAAUCGGUGCACCUAGCGGUGUUUCCGAAUUGUAAUCUCGAGACACUUGCUCAGCUUCGACCCGGGUAGAAAUCUUUUGAAACAAGGUCUCAGAGAGGGUGAGAAGCCCGUCUUUGACCUGGAGAUCGGGGCGUACGACAGGUGCUCCAAGAGUCGAAUAGCUUGGGAGUGCUGUUCUAAAUGGGUGGUAAAUUUCAUCUAAAGCUAAAUAUCACCGAGAGACCGAUAGCGCACAAGUA
RNAcentral lists this ribosomal RNA (317 nucleotides) under uncultured eukaryote. RNAcentral describes it as "partial large subunit ribosomal RNA". It matches the Rfam family "Eukaryotic large subunit ribosomal RNA", at positions 40 to 350 of the family's 3401-position model. The record is from RNAcentral.